UACGGAGGGUGCAAGCGUUAUCCGGAAUCACUGGGUUUAAAGGGUGCGUAGGCGGCUUAGUAAGUCAGUGGUGAAAGGCUGUGGCUUAACCAUGGAAUUGCCAUUGAUACUGCAGAGCUUGAAUGAGGUUGAGGUUGGCGGAAUGUGUCAUGUAGCGGUGAAAUGCUUAGAUAUGUCAUGGAACACCGAUUGCGAAGGCAGCUGACUGGACCUAUAUUGACGCUGAGGCACGAAAGCGUGGGGAGCGAACAGG
RNAcentral lists this ribosomal RNA (253 nucleotides) under uncultured bacterium. RNAcentral's name for it is "partial 16S ribosomal RNA". It matches the Rfam family "Bacterial small subunit ribosomal RNA", at positions 524 to 776 of the family's 1533-position model. The record is from RNAcentral.